GCGGCGUGCUUAACACAUGCAAGUCGAACGACGACCUCCAGCUUGCUGGGGUGAUUAGUGGCGAACGGGUGAGUAACACGUGAGUAACCUGCCCUUAACUCUGGGAUAAGCCUGGGAAACUGGGUCUAAUACCGGAUAUGACUCCUCAUCGCAUGGUGGGGGGUGGAAAGCUUUUUGUGGUUUUGGAUGGACUCGCGGCCUAUCAGCUUGUUGGUGAGGUAAUGGCUCACCAAGGCGACGACGGGUAGCCGGCCUGAGAGGGUGACCGGCCACACUGGGACUGAGACACGGCCCAGACUCCUACGGGAGGCAGCAGUGGGGAAUAUUGCACAAUGGGCGAAAGCCUGAUGCAGCGACGCCGCGUGAGGGAUGACGGCCUUCGGGUUGUAAACCUCUUUCAGUAGGGAAGAAGCGAAAGUGACGGUACCUGCAGAAGAAGCGCCGGCUAACUACGUGCCAGCAGCCGCGGUAAUACGUAGGGCGCAAGCGUUAUCCGGAAUUAUUGGGCGUAAAGAGCUCGUAGGCGGUUUGUCGCGUCUGCCGUGAAAGU
Molecule: ribosomal RNA, 550 nt
Filed under: uncultured Actinomycetes bacterium
Lineage: Bacteria; Bacillati; Actinomycetota; Actinomycetes
Description: bacterial SSU rRNA
Rfam family: Bacterial small subunit ribosomal RNA
Source: RNAcentral